AUAUUGGCAAUGAAAAAGAAAAAGGUAUUAAUACAUGCUGCAAAAAGGAUAAACAUUGAAAACAUGGUAAGUGAAAGUAGUGAGUCGCACGUAACUAUAUAUUAUUAUGAUUCCGCUUACAUGAAAUGUCUAGGAUAGGCAAAUCCUUCCAGAAUAGGCAAAUCCUUAGGAAGUAGAUGGAUGGUUGCCUAGGGCUGGGAGGGGUUUAAAGAAAGAGUGGGGAAAAUGGGGAAAGAUUGCUAAUGGGUGCAAGGUUUCUUUUAAGGAGCAUGAAAAUGUUCUAAAAUUAUAUUGUGGUGAUUGCGUAUCCACCUAGUUAAUGCCCUAAAAAAAUUGAAUUUUAUACUUUAUAUGAGUGAAUUAAAUAAUAUAUAAAUUAUAUCUCAAUGAACCUGUGAAAAAAGUUAAAAAAUAUGUGAUAUGCAUACACAAAAUUUCUUCAUUUUAUUUUGUUUCCAUAGGUUUUUGGGGAACAGGUGGCGUUUGAUUGUAAGAGUAAGUUCCUUAGAGGUUGAAUAAUUUUGAUGGGCAGAAGUGUUCUAAAGUAUGCUUUUAUAAACCUCAUAUCACAGUAAUCCAUUGUUGAAACAUGGCUUAAUGCAUGUUUUAGGAUGGGUGAAGGAAGGAGAGAAGGGAAAAAGAAAAGAUGAAGAAAGGAAGAAAAAAAGAAAAAAGAAGGUGAAGGAAAGAGAGAGGAAGAAAGAAAAUGAAAAUAUGAGCAUGUUAUGAAGAAAACUGAAAAUAUGUAAUUAUUUUUUCUUAAUUUUAGCAGGUGUAGAAACUCUUAAGGCUGAUGAUGAGAUAGCUAUUUUUGCCAUAAAUUACAUGAAUUAUAUUCAUUUUUACAUUCUUAUAAUACAGCAUUAGAAUAUGUUGUGUUAUACGUAGACUCCUUAGAAGAUACACAUAAAUAAAAGAAAAAAAUUAAAAGCUGCUUUCAACUUACUAUCAUUCAUGUCCAUCUCUGUGUGCAUGUAUUACACACACACACACAUCCCCACAGUAAGAACCCACUAAAUAUUGUUAAGUUCUGGGAAAAUAUGACCUUAAGUGAAAUGACGUACAAUAGGUCCUUGAAUAACAUAGUCAUUUAGAUAUAAUUAUAAUAUGGAAAAAAUGGAUUUUGUUAUGCAUCGUUUUGAUUAAAGUCACAGUUUCCAAGAACCUAUUGAUGACAUUGAGGAGUUUAUACACACACAAACAUACACAAACAUGCACACACAUACAACACACACACACACAAAUGUAGUUAUACACAAUAUACUGACUGCCUUAUAAGAAUUUUUUUUCUAUCUUGUAAUAAUACAUGAGUACCACAUUUUUCAAUGCAUUUAAUCAUGC
RNAcentral lists this long non-coding RNA (1341 nucleotides) under Homo sapiens (human). RNAcentral describes it as "HSALNT0238786". The record is from RNAcentral. Lineage: Eukaryota; Metazoa; Chordata; Mammalia; Primates; Hominidae.